This 72-nucleotide transfer RNA is filed under the name Haemonchus contortus (barber pole worm). Its description in RNAcentral is "tRNA, Pseudo". Lineage: Eukaryota; Metazoa; Nematoda; Chromadorea; Rhabditida; Trichostrongylidae. The record is from RNAcentral.
UCCCAGGUGGCUCAGACAGUAAAGAAUCUGCCUGCAAUGCAAGAAACCUGGGUUCGAUCCCUGGGUUGGAAG